Molecule: long non-coding RNA, 2365 nt
Filed under: Equus caballus (horse)
Lineage: Eukaryota; Metazoa; Chordata; Mammalia; Perissodactyla; Equidae
Description: lncRNA (ENSECAG00000048452.1)
Source: RNAcentral
UAAGAAUUCUGUCACUUCCCUCUGAACAGUGCUGAUUUUUGCGGUUAUUGUUUUAGCAGUUUAUUUCAGGACCAGGCAACUCCGUUAAAGUGAGGAAAGGCAGCACAGCCAACAGUAAACUCAACAGCAAAGGGUCUGAACUCUGAAAGGUGAGAAAACUGAAGCAAUACGGGUUAAGUAACUUUUUGGAUAACUUGCCUCUGGUAAGCAUCAGAGUGACAAUUGAAUCCCAAAGACUGGGACUUAAGUACGAAAAAGGAAAAAAAAAGUCAACCUCAAAACACAAAAAGAAUAUUAACUUCCGCAGUUAGCAUCUAUAUUUACUAACGAAUCAUGAUAGAAAGAAACGUUUGUUUCCCACCAAGUAUAUGUAUAAGCUCACAAGCAUUCUGCUGUUGUAUUUGCCACUCACAGAACGUGUUCAUGAUACUAAAUCGUAAAAUCUGUAAACCAAUACCAUUAUUGGGUUUAUAUUUUGGGUUAAACUGUUGACAUGUUCAAACAUUAUAAACGUCAAUAAUCAUGUUACAAGAAGAUAACUACUGGUGUGGAAACAACACUUACAUGUGGCCAUGGGUAAUGGGAGAGGGUCAGAAAUACAGUAUCAAAUCCCUGCAACACAGCAUGAGCUGGAUGCUGCAUAUUAAAGGGCAAAAAUAAGGUAGAGUGAUGAAAACAAGAAGAAGCUGGGUGUCCAAGGUAACUGUUGCCAUGUCAACACAUCAUAAACAGAUUGCCCUCCUUGGAGUAAGUUCAAGGAAUUUUCUGUCGCUCCUGCCCACGGAUUUGAACGUUCAGAAUGAAUUAAGUCUAAGCAAUUUUUAGAAAACUUCUACAUCCUAGAAGUCAAUGGCUACCAAACUGUGAGAAACAGGAAGCAGCGCUCUAGGCCUCACAAUCUAUACAGAAAAUGGAAGUUGAAUAUUAUGAGGAGAGACACACAUCAUUUCUGCUUAUAGUUCAUUGACGAGAAGUAGUUACAUGAUCUUACCUUACAGCAAGAGGCAGGGGCACGAUGGGAACAUACAUAGACACUUGAUGCUGAAUCACCAAAACAGAACAAAACAGGAAUACAAGAUUCCUUGUUAUGAUUUGGAUUCCUCAGAUCAGGCACACUUGGAUAAGACUUGAAUUCAAAACUGACAUGGCUGGAUGAGCGGUUUGGAGGUCAGCACCUGGGAUCUGAACCCGUGAACCCCAGGCUGCCAAAGAGGAGAGCAUGAAUUUAAACCACUGUAUUACCGGACCAGCCCGAAGUACAAUAUGUUUUAAAAGAACCACGAUAUGACCUUAUAUUGAACUUUAAAAAUAUCUGACGUUGUCUUUUCUAUGCCUAACAGAAAUUUUACCAUGAAUAAAAUAAUGACAUUCAUGGAAUGAGAGUUAACGUUUUUUGAGUGCUGCUCCUGUGCCAAGGAUGAAACUAGACACAUCAAUGCUCCUGUGCGUCCGCCCACAGCCUGCUUGUCUUCCCCAUCCACACCUCUGUGUCAGACAGUGACAUUAUCAUUUUUUACUGAAUCCAGCUUUCGUUUGCCUGCUUCUGAGAUUUUGCUAAGGCUUUUCAUCUUUUUGGUAUGGAUUCAACUUGUCGUACUUGAAUCUACUUUUAGGAUUUCACUAAGGUUGGAUUCCCCAGGUGUAGCAUCUGAAACAGGUCCGUGAGAUAUGUUGGGGGAGUGCUCUCAGGAGAAAGAGAAUGGAGAAGCAGCAUCAAGCAAAGAAAGCAGCUAAGCAAGGAUGUGCUGUCCACUAGAGCUUAGCUUUAAUUGCCCUACCCUUUGGCUGGCACUUCUGUGAGUCUUGGUGGCUUUUCAUGGCGGAUGAUCCAAACCAUCAAGUCAAAGGAGACUUAAGUCCAUUUUUAUGAUGCCCUUGUUAGUCCUCGGAUGCUUUUCUUGUCCAUGUGUGGUUUAAAUUCAGUUUAAAUAUCAAAAGAAAUACAAGAAAAUCACCAGAGUUCUAAACACUCCUCCUUGCCCUCAUCAGGCAGUGGCAGUCUACCUUCCUUUGAUGAUAAGGUAACUGAACCUUGCUUGCUGAUCUACUGGAACAAGGAAACCAAUGAAACCAGGCUGCAGUAAUGGUUUACAGACACUCUCACGUGUCUCCUUUUGGAAAUGUUCAUCCUGGUGGCUUGCGACUCUAGACCCUGAGUCUUGUGAGGACAAGAAGGGCCAAUCCCCCAAACAGGAUACUGUGAGUGAUGGUAAACAAGGCCAAUCCUAUUUUAACUCAUUGGUCCCUGGACCCAUUCAAUCUACCUCUUGGGCACACAGUACCAGAUAAUGGCCAUUGGUUUAAGGGGUAUACUCCAGCCUGAAAGAUAAUGCCCCAUUUUCACUAGUUGUCAUCCUCAAGCUUG